UAAAGAGAGGAGGCGGCUUCUACGCCUGGGAGCAGCGGGCCAUGUACGCCCUCCGUGCCCCGCUCAGGGAGUAAAGAGUCUCACCCCCAUCCUGCCUGAGCUUGCACUCACAGUGGCCCUUCAGGUGUGCUGGGAUCCCUGAGCUUGGGGACGGACUGAGGAGCAGAAUGUCUAGAGCACCUGAUCUCCUGACACAGAGCAAUCAACUCCAUCUACAGGAUCAGGAUGGUGAGCUUAGGAAUUCACAGGACCAGUGACCCAGCCUGGAUCCUACAGGAUAAAAGAUGCAAAAUCAGUUAGGGAAGGAACUUGUCUGUUUUGCCCCCACUAUAUCCUCAGCACCUCCAACAAUGGCUGGCACAGAUAUGCAGAUGACACUACCCUUAUGGCAGAAAGUGAAGAGGAACUAAAAAGC
Bubalus bubalis (water buffalo) is the source of this 415-nucleotide long non-coding RNA. RefSeq lists it as uncharacterized. NCBI's taxonomy places the organism in Eukaryota, Metazoa, Chordata, Mammalia, Artiodactyla, Bovidae. The record is from RefSeq and is a predicted model, not a curated record. The transcript has 4 exons.